Long non-coding RNA from Sebastes umbrosus (honeycomb rockfish), 752 nucleotides. RefSeq lists it as uncharacterized. Lineage: Eukaryota; Metazoa; Chordata; Actinopteri; Perciformes; Sebastidae. The transcript has 2 exons. The record is from RefSeq and is a predicted model, not a curated record.
ACAGGCUGACUGAUGAGUCAUAGGGGAGCGUCUGUCUGUGUGUGUGUCUGUGCAUUAUGUGUAUUUAUUUCUGUGCUGAUAUACCAAAUGUAUUGAGUUUGCACUCUGAACACACAUGCCGCCUCCCUGGUGGGAGAAAUGAUGGCUACUUUCACACAACACGCCUUCAGUCUCAAUUCAGAUUGGCUGCUCAUGUCAUUUUAACCCCAGAGGAUCAGAUAUGAUAUCUCCUACUACAUCUAUACUUCAGUCGAACACAUGGUGGUUUGGGUUUUAAAUUGGAUGCAUCUUUUUUUACAGGCUGGUUGGUGUAUAAGCUUUCCUUCAUCCGCCAACUUAACACCGGCUUAGGCAGCUUGCUGUGAGACCCACAAUUAUGAGAUUUGUCUCAGCUGAAUGAUGUGCGGUUUACUUAUUGUCAUGGCAACACUUACACUUGAUGCUUUGAGCAUUCAAAUAUAAGAUAGGAAAAAAUGUGAGUUGAGACACCUUCAGCUGCAGUUUCAACACUGCUGUAAAGCAACAGGACCAACUCAUUAAGAUGGUGAAAGUGUCUGGUCGCUGCGACCCUCCUCCACCCUUCCACCUCUGGUUUUCGAUGGGUUGUACACCGCUCUUUCACCACCACCUGUGUCUAGACUUUAAUGUCAUGACCAUCUAACCACCAAAGACUCCUCACAUAUCCCUUUAACUUAUCCUGUUGUGCACACUAUGUCAAAUAAACAAUUGCAGUUUUGCAAUUUUCAAAUCCA